Long non-coding RNA from Gossypium arboreum, 363 nucleotides. RefSeq lists it as uncharacterized. Lineage: Eukaryota; Viridiplantae; Streptophyta; Magnoliopsida; Malvales; Malvaceae. The record is from RefSeq and is a predicted model, not a curated record. The transcript is spliced from 2 exons.
GCUAACAAGGUAGGAGAAGGUGGUAGUAGACAAGGGAAAGAGCAAAUUGAAUAGGUGGAAUCGGUGUUGGGAGCCUUGAUUUUGCUCGUUAGCUAUCGGAUUCGGGAUCAUUGAAGUCGAAGUCAUCCACACUAUCAAAGCCCCCAUUUUGGUACAAUUUUGGUUGAACUUUGAAAUGGCAUGUAUAGGACUACCCUUUUGUUGUAGGUUAUGUACCUUUCGGUUUUGUGUAAAUUCGGAUAGCCAUGCGAAAAUGGCUUAUAUACGUUUCUAGCAUAGUACUAUAAUCGUUUGUAUGUUGAUCAUUAUGAGGUAUGGAAUUGUUUUGAAACGAUUAGCCAUUGGAAUGGUUAAUCAUGAUCA